CAAGACUGGGAUAACCUCCGGAAACGGAUGCUAAUACCGGAUAUGCGGUUUCUCCUCCUGGAGAGAUCGGGAAAGACGGAGCAAUCUGUCGCUUGGGGAUGGGCCUGCGGCGCAUUAGCUAGUUGGUGAGGUAACGGCUCACCAAGGCGACGAUGCGUAGCCGACCUGAGAGGGUGAUCGGCCACACUGGGACUGAGACACGGCCCAGACUCCUACGGGAGGCAGCAGUAGGGAAUCUUCCGCAAUGGACGCAAGUCUGACGGAGCAACGCCGCGUGAGUGAGGAAGGCCUUCGGGUCGUAAAGCUCUGUUGCCAGGGAAGAACGGGUGGAAGAGUAACUGCUUCCGCCAUGACGGUACCUGAGAAGAAAGCCCCGGCUAACUACGUGCCAGCAGCCGCGGUAAUACGUAGGGGGCAAGCGUUGUCCGGAAUUAUUGGGCGUAAAGCGCGCGCAGGCGGCUUUGUAAGUCCGGUGUUUAAUCUUGGGGCUCAACCCCAAGUCGCACGGGAAACUGCAAGGCUUGAGUGCAGAAGAGGAAAGUGGAAUUCCACGUGUAGCGGUGAAAUGCGUAGAGAUGUGGAGGAACACCAGUGGCGAAGGCGACUUUCUGGGCUGUAAC
RNAcentral lists this ribosomal RNA (620 nucleotides) under Paenibacillus sp. RNAcentral describes it as "bacterial SSU rRNA". It matches the Rfam family "Bacterial small subunit ribosomal RNA", at positions 133 to 740 of the family's 1533-position model. The record is from RNAcentral. Lineage: Bacteria; Bacillati; Bacillota; Bacilli; Caryophanales; Paenibacillaceae.